RNAcentral lists this ribosomal RNA (791 nucleotides) under uncultured archaeon. RNAcentral's name for it is "bacterial SSU rRNA". It matches the Rfam family "Archaeal small subunit ribosomal RNA", at positions 85 to 879 of the family's 1478-position model. The record is from RNAcentral.
ACGGCUCAGUAACACGUGGAUAACAUGCCCUAAGGUGGGGGAUAAUCUCGGGAAACUGAGGAUAAUACCCCAUAGGUCUUCUAUGCUGGAAUGCUCGAAGGCCGAAAACUCCGGUGCCUUAGGAUUGGUCUGCGGCCUAUCAGGCAGUAGUGGGUGUAAUGGACCCACUAGCCCGUGACGGGUAUGGGCCUUGAGAGAGGGAGCCCAGAGAUGGACUCUGAGACAUGAGUCCAGGCCCUACGGGGCGCAGCAGUCGCGAAAACUUCGCAAUGGGGGCAACCCCGACGAGGGAAUUCCAAGUGCCAGCACUUUGUGUUGGCUGUUCUCUUGUCUAAAAAACAAGAGGAGUAAGGGGCGGGUAAGACGGGUGCCAGCCGCCGCGGUAAUACCCGCGCCCCAAGUGGUGGUCGAUAUUAUUGAGCCUAAAACGUCCGUAGCCGGUCUUUUAAAUCCUUGGGUAAAUCGGGCAGCUUAACUGUCCGACUUCCGAGGAGACUGGAAGACUUGGGACCGGGAGAGGUCAGAGGUACUUCUGGGGUAGGGGUAAAAUCCUGUAAUCCUGGAAGGACCACCGGUGGCGAAGGCGUCUGACUAGAACGGAUCCGACGGUGAGGGACGAAGCCCUGGGGCGCAAACGGGAUUAGAUACCCCGGUAGUCCAGGGUGUAAACGCUGCGGGCUUGGUGUUGGGGGUCCUUUGUGGGCGCCCAGUGCCGGAGAGAAGUUGUUAAGCCUGCUGCUUGGGGAGUAUGUCCGCAAGGAUGAAACUUAAAGGAAUUGGCGGGGGAGCAC